ACGUGUUACGUCCCGAGAUGGUGUAGAACGGUUAAUGGGGUUUGGGAAAGGACAUCUAGAACAUCUUAAAUUGUUAGAGAUUCAGGUUUGAGAUAGUGACUGCACUCUCUAACAGUUUGGUAACGACUGCGCUCUUCGGAGGUUCGCUCACCACUGACCCGUCCGCGCCCAAGCCGUAUCUCUAGAGUUGGGCCAGGCGCAAAGGGGAGGGGCAAACAAAGCACUCCUCGACUGAGCAUUUAUUUUGUACUACAAUUCUUUGUGAGAAAAUAGAAGAAAGGGAAAGGA
This is a long non-coding RNA of Pogonomyrmex barbatus (red harvester ant), 288 nucleotides long. NCBI's taxonomy places the organism in Eukaryota, Metazoa, Arthropoda, Insecta, Hymenoptera, Formicidae. The record is from RefSeq and is a predicted model, not a curated record.